This 1478-nucleotide long non-coding RNA is filed under the name Ananas comosus (pineapple). RNAcentral describes it as "long non-coding RNA (ACOM_LNC044872)". The record is from RNAcentral. Lineage: Eukaryota; Viridiplantae; Streptophyta; Magnoliopsida; Poales; Bromeliaceae.
AAAUAUGAAGUGAUGCCCGGUAAAGAAUUUGGUUUUAACAAUCACUCACUGCUUUAUAAUUGUAGAUAGGUAAAAGGAAACAAAAUAUGAAGUAUCCUUGCUGGUCGGCCGAAACCCCCACCCUGAGAAAUGGUAUUUCUCCAAUUCUCGUUCAGACUAGAAGUUAAUUCAUAUUUAGUAAGAAGUAAAAGUUUAAUUUCAAACAAAUUUUAUAGAUGGUUACCAAGACAAGUAAAUACAAACAAGUCCAGCAUUUUUCCAAUUAAGCACUAUGCUUUGAGCAAAUCAAAUAACAGGUUGAUAUAUCUUCCUACCAAAAAAAAAACCAAAGAACAAACCCGUAAUACCUAAUUACCUACAGUAUAAUUAUAUUUUGCAUCUCAUAUGCAAGAUCGGAAUAACAAGCUAAGAGGGUUCUGUAUUACCAGUCAUCGCACUUCGAGUAUUAGCUCUUCUACGGUCAUUGCGAAACCCUGGCGAACGGGAAUUUGUCCGUUGACCAUUGUGCUCCACUUGUUUUCUAGUAUCAUAAGAGCUCUUAUAACCUGCUUGCUGAAAUCAUAAUAGGACACAUCUAAAUCAGUUAAAAUGUUAGAAGUUGGAUCAAUACAAUUAAUGAUUUCCAGGACUUCCAACCUAAGAUGUUAAAAGAGAGUAGGCACAAAAAAUUGUUGCAAAAAAAAACUUCACUCUAGAACUAAAGUGAACAGGAAUUAAACAAAAACAAAAACAAAAAAAAGAUAGGUGUAACUAACUCCAAUAUCCUGAAAGAAGGCACUAAUGCAAUAAGCAUUUCAACAAGUUCGAACACAUUAAAAAGAUUAAUCAACAGUAGAAAAGUCCUCCACCAUGGCGAACUGAUAUGAUUUGAAGGCUCUUGUUCCAGCAUGGUGAACUAAUAUGAUUUGAAGGCUAAAGAAGUCAUCAAUGCUACCCACAUGGAAGAAUAUGAUAGUCUAUGCUUGCCAUAUAUAUAUAUAUAUAUAUAUAUAUAUAUAUAUAUAUAGUUGAGCUAGAAUACUAUCGAUAGCAAACGGGCUCCAUUGCCACCCAUUUGUUUUCGAUGAUAGAGCCUCCAAAUUGACGAUCGGCACCGUUGAACAUGAUCUAUACCACUUGAAGUGUUUAGAAAUCAAAUUUCAAAUCUUUUCGACAUCAUUUGCCUAAUAAUCAAAGAGUUUCAAAAUUUGUAAUUUUAAUGGUCAAUAUGAGGCGUUUUUUCGUUUAACGGCGUAAAGAUAUCCAAAUCAAUUGAAUUUUGUUAGAAAAUUAUUGAAACUGUUUAAAACAAGAUCUAUACUCUUGAUCUUGAUUACAAGACUCCUACCAUCAUUUUUUUAAAGAAUAUUCAUUUUCAGCCGUUCAUUUUUGUGUCCACUCGAUGGAUAAAAGAACAAUGUCGAAAAUGUAUGAAAUUUGACUUCUAAACACUUCAAGUGGUAUAGAUCAUGUUCAAUGGUGCUGAUCGUCGAUUUGGA